Molecule: long non-coding RNA, 242 nt
Filed under: Oryctolagus cuniculus (rabbit)
Lineage: Eukaryota; Metazoa; Chordata; Mammalia; Lagomorpha; Leporidae
Description: lncRNA (ENSOCUG00000037314.1)
Source: RNAcentral
GGGUGGUGGAGAGUCACUGAGACAUGUUGCCCUGAUUCCAUUUGUGUUUUCCAAGCUGCAGUGAGGAGACUGUGGACGUGCGGGCCAGAUAACAGAGGGCAUUUGGAAGGCCAUUCUGUGGGUCCAGGCUGGAGUGAGCACAACUCGGAUGAAGCUCGGCCACGGAUACCUCCGUUUCCUGAUCCGUGAGAUGGGACUAAAGAAAACCAACUAUUUUGAUGGGACUGCAGUGAGAGCUAAAG